GGGCUUGUAGCUCAGUAGGUAGAGCAGCGCCCUUUUAAGGCGAAGGUCCCGGGUUCGAACCCCGGCAUUCCCACCA
RNAcentral lists this transfer RNA (76 nucleotides) under Candidatus Peregrinibacteria bacterium. Its description in RNAcentral is "tRNA-Lys". It matches the Rfam family "tRNA". From Rfam's summary of the family: Transfer RNA (tRNA) molecules are approximately 80 nucleotides in length. Their secondary structure includes four short double-helical elements and three loops (D, anti-codon, and T loops). Further hydrogen bonds mediate the characteristic L-shaped molecular structure. tRNAs have two regions of fundamental functional importance: the anti-codon, which is responsible for specific mRNA codon recognition, and the 3' end, to which the tRNAs corresponding amino acid is attached (by aminoacyl-tRNA synthetases). tRNAs cope with the degeneracy of the genetic code in two manners: having more than one tRNA (with a specific anti-codon) for a particular amino acid; and 'wobble' base-pairing, i.e. permitting non-standard base-pairing at the 3rd anti-codon position. Lineage: Bacteria; Candidatus Peregrinibacteriota. The record is from RNAcentral.